UACGUAGGGGGCGAGCGUUGUCCGGAUUUAUUGGGCGUAAAGAGCUCGUAGGCGGCUGGGCAAGUCGGGUGUGAAAACUCCAGGCUCAACUUGGAGACGCCACUUGAUACUGCCCUGGCUUGAGUCCGGUAGGGGAGCGCGGAAUUCCUGGUGUAGCGGUGAAAUGCGCAGAGAUCAGGAGGAACACCGGUGGCGAAGGCGGCGCUCUGGGCCGGUACUGACGCUGAGGAGCGAAAGCGUGGGGAGCGAACAGG
This 254-nucleotide ribosomal RNA is filed under the name uncultured bacterium. RNAcentral describes it as "partial 16S ribosomal RNA". It matches the Rfam family "Bacterial small subunit ribosomal RNA", at positions 524 to 776 of the family's 1533-position model. RNAcentral also lists the same sequence under 2 other names. The record is from RNAcentral.